CGCCUUGCCAGCCCGCUCAGAACUUAAAUGAAUUGACGGGGGCCCGCACAAGCGGAGGAACAUGUGGUUUAAUUCGAUGAUACGCGAGGAACCUUACCUGGGCUAGAACGCAUUCGGAAUCAGGCCGAAAGGCCUGCGCCAGCGAUGGCCGCUUGCGAGGUGCUGCAUGGUUGUCGUCAGCUCGUGCCGUGAGGUGUCGGGUUAAGUCCCAUAACGAGCGCAACCCCUACUGCUAGUUGCCAGCGGGUCAUGCCGGGGACUCUAGCGGAACUGCCAGCGUAAGCUGCGAGGAAGGUGGGGAUGACGUCAAAUCAGCACGGCCCUUACGUCCAGGGCUACACACGUGUUACAAUGGCCGGUACAGAGGGCAGCCACCCCGCGAGGGGGCGCGAAUCCCGAAAGCCGGUCCCAGUUCGGAUCGGAGUCUGCAACCCGACUCCGUGAAGCUGGAUUCGCUAGUAAUCGCGCAUCAGCCACGGCGCGGUGAAUACGUUCCCGGGCCUU
This 504-nucleotide ribosomal RNA is filed under the name uncultured Rikenellaceae bacterium. RNAcentral describes it as "bacterial SSU rRNA". It matches the Rfam family "Bacterial small subunit ribosomal RNA", at positions 903 to 1382 of the family's 1533-position model. The record is from RNAcentral. Lineage: Bacteria; Pseudomonadati; Bacteroidota; Bacteroidia; Bacteroidales; Rikenellaceae.